GGGACGGUAGCUCAGUGGCAGAGCGCGGAGUCGGCCGACGUAACUCUUGACCGUGGUCGCAGGUUCGAAUCCUGCCCGUUCCACCA
Molecule: transfer RNA, 86 nt
Filed under: Microbacterium phage PrincePhergus
Lineage: Duplodnaviria; Heunggongvirae; Uroviricota; Caudoviricetes
Description: tRNA-Pro
Rfam family: tRNA
About the family: Transfer RNA (tRNA) molecules are approximately 80 nucleotides in length. Their secondary structure includes four short double-helical elements and three loops (D, anti-codon, and T loops). Further hydrogen bonds mediate the characteristic L-shaped molecular structure. tRNAs have two regions of fundamental functional importance: the anti-codon, which is responsible for specific mRNA codon recognition, and the 3' end, to which the tRNAs corresponding amino acid is attached (by aminoacyl-tRNA synthetases). tRNAs cope with the degeneracy of the genetic code in two manners: having more than one tRNA (with a specific anti-codon) for a particular amino acid; and 'wobble' base-pairing, i.e. permitting non-standard base-pairing at the 3rd anti-codon position.
Source: RNAcentral